Paramuricea clavata is the source of this 70-nucleotide non-coding RNA. Lineage: Eukaryota; Metazoa; Cnidaria; Anthozoa; Malacalcyonacea; Plexauridae. The record is from the annotation of a GenBank genome assembly.
GACUCUGUAGCUCAGUUGGUUAGAGCGCUGCACCGGAAUCGCAGUGGCGCAGGUUUUAUUCCUGCCUGCA